RNAcentral lists this ribosomal RNA (695 nucleotides) under uncultured bacterium. RNAcentral's name for it is "bacterial SSU rRNA". It matches the Rfam family "Bacterial small subunit ribosomal RNA", at positions 32 to 715 of the family's 1533-position model. The record is from RNAcentral.
AACGCUAGCUACAGGCUUAACACAUGCAAGUCGAGGGGCAGCAUUUUAGUUUGCUUGCAAACUGAAGAUGGCGACCGGCGCACGGGUGAGUAACACGUAUCCAACCUGCCGAUAACUCCGGAAUAGCCUUUCGAAAGAAAGAUUAAUACCGGAUAGCAUACGAAUAUCGCAUGAUAUUUCUAUUAAAGAAUUUCGGUUAUCGAUGGGGAUGCGUUCCAUUAGUUUGUUGGCGGGGUAACGGCCCACCAAGACUACGAUGGAUAGGGGUUCUGAGAGGAAGGUCCCCCACAUUGGAACUGAGACACGGUCCAAACUCCUACGGGAGGCAGCAGUGAGGAAUAUUGGUCAAUGGGCGAGAGCCUGAACCAGCCAAGUAGCGUGAAGGAUGAAGGCUCUAUGGGUCGUAAACUUCUUUUAUAUGGGAAUAAAGUUUUCCACGUGUGGAAUUUUGUAUGUACCAUAUGAAUAAGGAUCGGCUAACUCCGUGCCAGCAGCCGCGGUAAUACGGAGGAUCCGAGCGUUAUCCGGAUUUAUUGGGUUUAAAGGGAGCGUAGGUGGAUUGUUAAGUCAGUUGUGAAAGUUUGCGGCUCAACCGUAAAAUUGCAGUUGAAACUGGCAGUCUUGAGUACAGUAGAGGUGGGCGGAAUUCGUGGUGUAGCGGUGAAAUGCUUAGAUAUCACGAAGAACUCCGAUUG